Molecule: ribosomal RNA, 273 nt
Filed under: Acinetobacter haemolyticus
Lineage: Bacteria; Pseudomonadati; Pseudomonadota; Gammaproteobacteria; Moraxellales; Moraxellaceae
Description: partial 16S ribosomal RNA
Rfam family: Bacterial small subunit ribosomal RNA
Source: RNAcentral
UUUAAGCGAGGAGGAGGCUACUCUAGUUAAUACCUAGAGAUAGUGGACGUUACUCGCAGAAUAAGCACCGGCUAACUCUGUGCCAGCAGCCGCGGUAAUACAGAGGGUGCGAGCGUUAAUCGGAUUUACUGGGCGUAAAGCGUGCGUAGGCGGCUGAUUAAGUCGGAUGUGAAAUCCCUGAGCUUAACUUAGGAAUUGNUUCGAUACUGGUCAGCUAGAGUAUGGGAGAGGAUGGUAGAAUAAGGGCGAAUUCGUUUAAACCUGCAGGACUAG